This 1084-nucleotide ribosomal RNA is filed under the name Parabacteroides distasonis. RNAcentral's name for it is "partial 23S ribosomal RNA". It matches the Rfam family "Bacterial large subunit ribosomal RNA", at positions 722 to 1792 of the family's 2925-position model. Lineage: Bacteria; Pseudomonadati; Bacteroidota; Bacteroidia; Bacteroidales; Tannerellaceae. The record is from RNAcentral.
CCGGUGAUCUAGCCAUGGGCAGGUUGAAGGUUGAGUAACAUCAACUGGAGGACCGAACCCACUAACGUUGAAAAGUUAGGGGAUGACCUGUGGCUAGGAGUGAAAGGCUAAUCAAACCGGGAGAUAGCUGGUUCUCCCCGAAAUCUAUUUAGGUAGAGCCUCGGACGAAUACUUACGGGGGUAGAGCACUGUUAAGGCUAGGGGGUCAUCCCGACUUACCAACCCUUUGCAAACUCCGAAUACCGUAAAGUACUAUCCGGGAGACACACGGCGGGUGCUAACGUCCGUCGUGAAGAGGGAAACAACCCAGACCGCCAGCUAAGGUCCCAAAGUCAUAGUUAAGUGGGAAACGAUGUGGAAAGGCCCAGACAGCCAGGAGGUUGGCUUAGAAGCAGCCAUCCUUUAAAGAAAGCGUAAUAGCUCACUGGUCGAGUCGGUCUGCGCGGAAGAUGUAACGGGGCUAAACUAUGCACCGAAGCUGCGGAUUCAAAAUUUAUUUUGAGUGGUAGGGGAGCGUUCUGUAAGCGGUUGAAGGUGUACCGGGAGGUAUGCUGGACGUAUCAGAAGUGCGAAUGCUGACAUGAGUAACGAUAAUGCGGGUGAAAAACCCGCACGCCGGAAGACCAAGGGUUCCUAUCCCAUGUUAAUCAGGGUAGGGUAAGUCGACCCCUAAGGCGAGGCCGAAAGGCGUAGUCGAUGGGAAACGGAUUAAUAUUUCCGUACUUGGUAUAAUUGCGAUGGGGGGACGGAGCAGGCUAAGCAAGCAUGGCGUUGGUAGUCCAUGUGAAAGUGAGUAGGCUAGCGACUUAGGUAAAUCCGGGUUGCUAUUAGGCUGAGACACGAGACGAGUCACUAAGGUGAUGAAGUUGCUGAUGCCAUACUUCCAGGAAAAGCCUCUAAGCUUCAGAUUAUACCGAAUCGUACCCCAAACCGACACAGGUGGUCAGGUAGAGAAUACUAAGGCGCUUGAGAGAACUCGGGUGAAGGAACUAGGCAAAAUCGUACCGUAACUUCGGGAGAAGGUACGCUCCUAUCUGUGAUGAGACUUGCUCUCUAAGCGGACGGGAGCCGCAGUGACCAGGUG